CGGAGGGCGCGAGCGUUACCCGGAUUUACUGGGCGUAAAGGGCGUGUAGGCGGCUUGGGGCGUCCCAUGUGAAAGGCCACGGCUCAACCGUGGAGGAGCGUGGGAUACGCUCAGGCUAGAGGGUGGGAGAGGGUGGUGGAAUUCCCGGAGUAGCGGUGAAAUGCGCAGAUACCGGGAGGAACGCCGAUGGCGAAGGCAGCCACCUGGUCCACUUCUGACGCUGAGGCGCAAAAGCGUGGGGAGCAAACCGGAUU
RNAcentral lists this ribosomal RNA (254 nucleotides) under uncultured bacterium. Its description in RNAcentral is "partial 16S ribosomal RNA". It matches the Rfam family "Bacterial small subunit ribosomal RNA", at positions 526 to 779 of the family's 1533-position model. The record is from RNAcentral.